AUGAAUCUCCUAAGUUGGAACUGCCGGGGAGGGGGGAAUACCCAGACAGUUCGAGAGCUGGCGACUCUUUGUCAGUCGCAUUCCCCCACUUUGGUGUUUUUGUGUGAUACAAGGCAGAAGGCGGACAAGUUGAAAAGAAUCCAAGCGAGGUUGGGCUUGAAGGGUUUUUGCGGCGUGGAUAGUAAUGGUAUGAGCGGUGGUCUGGCUCUAUAUUGGCAUGAAUCUUAUGACGUCCAGAUUCUAGACAAGAAGGAAAGAUACAUUGAUGCCUUGGUGCGAAUUCAUCCGGAUGCUGAGCAAUGGAGAGUAACUUGCGUGUAUGGAGAACCCAGAGUGGAAAAUAGACCGGCAAUGUGGUCGGCGUUACAAAACCUGAAAAUGUGUGAGCGUGUCAGACACUAA
RNAcentral lists this ribosomal RNA (402 nucleotides) under Triticum aestivum (bread wheat). RNAcentral describes it as "partial small subunit ribosomal RNA". Lineage: Eukaryota; Viridiplantae; Streptophyta; Magnoliopsida; Poales; Poaceae. The record is from RNAcentral.